CAUUAAUGAUUUAUGAUGGGAGUUGAUGCUGGCAGCUUUCUUUGGCUGCAAUGUGCUCGCUUCCUAUCAAUCAUAUUCCAAACACCUGUGCACCAUCUUUUGAGGGGGGUCCUUGUUUUCACCCCCUCGAAUUCUAAUAACUACCUAUAAUGCUGAACGUGUUGUGCCGUAAGGCCUUAAUGAAAAAUACAACUUUUAACAACGGAUCUCUUGGCUCUCGCAUCGAUGAAGAACGCAGCGAAAUGCGAUAAGUAAUGUGAAUUGCAGAAUUCAGUGAAUCAUCGAAUCUUUGAACGCACCUUGCGCUCCCUGGUAUUCCGGGGAGCACGCCUGUUCGAGUGUCGCGAAAUUCUCAAGCUUGGGAUUUAUUAUGUCCCCAGUCUUGGUUGUUGGGCUUUGCCAUAUUACCUUCGUUGGAGGGGGGGGAUGGCUGGCCUUAAAAAUAUUAGCUGACCUUGAAAUGAUUAUUGGUUCUACUCAGCGUGAUAAAUAUCUGAUCGCCGAGGACAUCCCUUUGGGAUGGCCAAUUGUUGUUUGGGUUGCUUCUAAUCAUGCUCGUUUCAUGGACUUUUUCGAUCUGUGGAAUCUGCUUUUUCGACUUUUGACCUCGAAUCAGGUGGGACUACCCGCUGAACUUAAGCAUAUCAAUAAGCGGAGGAAAAGAAACUAACAAGGAUUCCCCUAGUAACGGCGAGUGAAGCGGGAAGAGCUCAAAUUUAAAAUCUGGCAACCUUUGGUUGUCCGAAUUGUAAUCUAGAGAAGCGUUUUCCGCGCUGGACUGUGUACAAGUUUCCUGGAUACGGAACAUCAUA
RNAcentral lists this ribosomal RNA (812 nucleotides) under uncultured fungus. RNAcentral's name for it is "eukaryotic LSU rRNA". The stretch from base 191 to 344 matches the Rfam family "5.8S ribosomal RNA". The record is from RNAcentral. Lineage: Eukaryota; Fungi.